GCCGGGGUGGCCGAGUUGGUCCAAGGCGCGGGCCUGCUAAGCCCGUCCCCGUCAAGGGGGCGUGGGUUCAAAUCCCACCCCCGGCGCCA
Molecule: transfer RNA, 89 nt
Filed under: Pyrobaculum sp.
Lineage: Archaea; Thermoproteati; Thermoproteota; Thermoprotei; Thermoproteales; Thermoproteaceae
Description: tRNA-Ser
Rfam family: tRNA
About the family: Transfer RNA (tRNA) molecules are approximately 80 nucleotides in length. Their secondary structure includes four short double-helical elements and three loops (D, anti-codon, and T loops).
Source: RNAcentral